Molecule: non-coding RNA, 358 nt
Organism: Misgurnus anguillicaudatus (oriental weatherfish)
Lineage: Eukaryota; Metazoa; Chordata; Actinopteri; Cypriniformes; Cobitidae
Source: RefSeq, a predicted model, not a curated record
UGAACGCAGCAUUUGAUAGAAAUAUUUUAAACGCGCCCUGACACCACACGUUAUUAUAGUAACGAUUUUACGCGUAGACGCGUUGCAGCCUGUUUGCAGCCAAUGGACCGAUAAACUAUUCCUUCUGUUAAGUGAUCAGUGAUUUGCUUUAUCUGCCCAUGACCACACAGUUAGAUCAGCUGGCCCGGCCCAAACCCAACCUGCUUAAAUUCUCAGACAGGCGCUCAUUAUAUUGGCUUGAUGAACUACCAACUGAAACAAAAAAAACUUCACUACUGGGUUUGAACUGACUCUUCGCUUAGAGCAGCUCGCCCAGAGUAAACAACCAAGCCAUUUUUUGGAGGAGAGCAGGUGAGUA